CAAAGGGUAGUUUAAUAAAAAUAAUAAUUUUGGAGAUUAUAGAUGGUAAAUUUUUUAUUUUCUUUGA
Molecule: transfer RNA, 67 nt
Filed under: Gunungiella acanthoclada
Lineage: Eukaryota; Metazoa; Arthropoda; Insecta; Trichoptera; Philopotamidae
Description: tRNA-Pro
Source: RNAcentral